AAGAAUUUGGCAUCACAUAUACUAAAAUUGGAAUGAUACAGAGAAGAUUAGCAUGGCCUCUGUGCAAGGAUGACACACAAAUACAAAAACAUUAUAAUU
Molecule: small nuclear RNA, 99 nt
Filed under: Ophiophagus hannah (king cobra)
Lineage: Eukaryota; Metazoa; Chordata; Lepidosauria; Squamata; Elapidae
Source: RNAcentral